AUUGAACGCUGGCGGCAUGCUUUACACAUGCAAGUCGAACGGUAACAGGCCUUCGGGUGCUGACGAGUGGCGAACGGGUGAGUAAUGCAUCGGAACGUACCCAGAGGUGGGGGAUAACGCAGCGAAAGCUGUGCUAAUACCGCAUGUGAUCUGAGGAUGAAAGCGGGGGACUGAGCAGAAUUUUUUGCCCUCGCGCCUUUGGAGGGCCCGAUGUCGGAUUAGCUAGUUGGUGGGGUAAAGGCCUACCAAGGCGACGAUCCGUAGCUGGUCUGAGAGGACGACCAGCCACACUGGGACUGAGACACGGCCCAGACUCCUACGAGAGGCAGCAGUGGGGAAUUUUGGACAAUGGGCGCAAGCCUGAUCCAGCAAUGCCGCGUGCGGGAAGAAGGCCUUCGGGUUGUAAACCGCUUUUGGCAGGAACGAAACGGUGUCCGCUAAUACCGGGCGCUAAUGACGGUACCUGCAGAAUAAGCACCGGCUAACUACGUG
RNAcentral lists this ribosomal RNA (492 nucleotides) under uncultured bacterium. Its description in RNAcentral is "partial 16S ribosomal RNA". It matches the Rfam family "Bacterial small subunit ribosomal RNA", at positions 30 to 507 of the family's 1533-position model. The record is from RNAcentral.